This 400-nucleotide ribosomal RNA is filed under the name uncultured bacterium. RNAcentral's name for it is "bacterial SSU rRNA". It matches the Rfam family "Bacterial small subunit ribosomal RNA", at positions 355 to 747 of the family's 1533-position model. The record is from RNAcentral.
UGGGGAAUUUUGGACAAUGGGGGCAACCCUGAUCCAGCCAUUCCGCGUGAGUGAAGAAGGCCUUCGGGUUGUAAAGCUCUUUUGUCCGGGAAGAAACGGUUUCACCUAAUACGUGAGACUACUGACGGUACCGGAAGAAUAAGGACCGGCUAACUACGUGCCAGCAGCCGCGGUAAUACGUAGGGUCCAAGCGUUAAUCGGAAUUACUGGGCGUAAAGCGUGCGCAGGCGGUUGUGUAAGCCAGAUGUGAAAUCCCCGGGCUUAACCUGGGAAUGGCAUUUGGGACUGCACGGCUAGAGUACGGCAGAGGGGACUAGAAUUCCUGGUGUAGCAGUGAAAUGCGUAGAUAUCAGGAGGAAUACCGAUGGCGAAGGCAGGUCCCUGGGUCGAUACUGACGCU